Non-coding RNA from Stereum hirsutum FP-91666 SS1, 103 nucleotides. Lineage: Eukaryota; Fungi; Basidiomycota; Agaricomycetes; Russulales; Stereaceae. The record is from the annotation of a RefSeq genome assembly.
GACUCGGUGGCGAAACGGCAUCGUAUCUGCACAAUAUGUGGUAUAGUGUUGAUACACGAUGCGUCUUAGCAGAAGGAUCCCAGUUCGAAUCUGGGCCGAGUCG